CUUCGCCAUAAAUCGGAAGAAAAGCUCCCCCCUCCCCUCACAGAGUGUGAUUUAUUUGGGGGUAGAGCUGGAUUCAGCUGUAAUGAGAGCAUGGCUCUCAAAGCAGAGGAUGGAGACGCUGUGGUCUCUCCUCCGUCGCUGUUCCCCGGGCAGCGUUGUGACAGCCCUCUCUGUCAUGAGGCUGCUGGGCAUGAUGUCAGUCGCUCACGCGGUGGUGCCGCUGGGGCUGCUUCACAUGAGGCAGCUGCAGAGAUGGUUUUCUCGCCUGCGCAUCGACCCGGUGCGCCAACGGCGGCGCAAAGUGACCAUUCCCCUAUCAGUGGGCCCCGAUUUGUCCCACUUUGGCGAUCCCCGAACCCUCACGAGAGGAGGGCCGUUGGGCAGAGCAACGUCACACAUCUCAGUGUUCACGGAUGCUUCUCUGUCGGGCUGGGGAGGAACAUGCGAGUUUCACGUAGUGGGCGGCAUUUGGCCGCCCCCCGUGAGCAUGCAUAUAAACGCAUUGGAGCUCCCCACUGUGUUGAAAGUAAUCCAACACUUUGCCCCAAUGUUAACAAAUCAACACGUAAUGAUUCGCACGGACAACAAGGCGACAGCAGCACACAUAAAUCUCCAAAGGGGGCGUGCGCUCGGCACAGCUGCUGAGCAUAGCGAGACAGCAGUUAUGCUGGGCGCACACACACUUGCUCUCCAUCAGAGCAGUGUACAUCCCCGGUGUCCUGAACAGACAUACUGUCGAGGGGGUGUCCCCAAACAGGACACUGGACUCUGCACCACCACCGUUACAGUUUAAAUCAUUUUUCACAACCUACCAGCUCUCGUUGUGAAGACAAGUCAAAGUGCCAUUCGUUUCAAUGGGAAUCGCAACGGUCUAUAAGUGUACAUAUUUAUUAUUAGAAAUUCGUACCAGCCUUUAUACCUCAGAUACUAUAGGGUCUAUAGCAUAUAACCGCAUUUUCUGAUUACAGUUUAAUGCAUUUUUCACAAUUAACCAGCUCUCGUUUCGAAGGCAGUGUUAAUUUUGGCAGCUAGAUUUAGUCUUGGG
RNAcentral lists this long non-coding RNA (1045 nucleotides) under Gadus morhua (Atlantic cod). RNAcentral describes it as "lncRNA (ENSGMOG00000024248.1)". Lineage: Eukaryota; Metazoa; Chordata; Actinopteri; Gadiformes; Gadidae. The record is from RNAcentral.